This 478-nucleotide ribosomal RNA is filed under the name uncultured bacterium. Its description in RNAcentral is "partial 16S ribosomal RNA". It matches the Rfam family "Bacterial small subunit ribosomal RNA", at positions 28 to 523 of the family's 1533-position model. The record is from RNAcentral.
GACGAACGCUGGCGGCGUGCUUAACACAUGCAAGUCGAACGGUAAGGCCCUUCGGGGUACACGAGUGGCGAACGGGUGAGUAACAUGUGGGUGAUCUGCCCUGCACUUCGGGAUAAGCCUGGGAAACUGGGUCUAAUACCGGAUAGGACUCCGGACUGCAUGGUCUGGGGUGGAAAGCUUUUGCGGUGUGGGAUGGGGCCGCGGCCGAUCAGCUUGUUGGUGGGGUGAUGGCCUACCAAGGCGACGAGGGGUAGCCGGCCUGAGAGGGUGACCGGCCACACUGGGACUGAGAUACGGCCCAGACUCCUACGGGAGGCAGCAGUGGGGAAUAUUGCACAAUGGGCGCAAGCCUGAUGCAGCGACGCCACGUGAGGGAUGACGGCCUUCGGGUUGUAAACCCCUUUCAGCAUCGACGAAGCGAAAGUGACGGUAGGUGCAGAAGAAGGACCGGCCAACUACGUGCCAGCCGCCGCGGUAA